Molecule: long non-coding RNA, 777 nt
Filed under: Numida meleagris (helmeted guineafowl)
Lineage: Eukaryota; Metazoa; Chordata; Aves; Galliformes; Numididae
Description: lncRNA (ENSNMEG00000001401.1)
Source: RNAcentral
UCCCUCCCAGUCCCUCCCAGUACCUCUGCACCAGCACGGCGAGCCGCGGGGGGGGGAUUUGGAAAAGCAGCUGCUGCAGGAGCCGGGGGGGGGAGUGCAGGAGCCGCUCCAGCAUCUGGAACGUGCGGAAGUGGUCGCGGGUAUCGCUCUGCAGCACCGCCACCGACGUCCCCGCCCGCUCCAGGACCCCCCCCUGAAGGCGGCGGGACACGGCCUCGGCCACUGCGGGGUCACACGGGGUCAGACGUGGGGUCAGACGGGGUCAUAUGGGGUCAGUGGGGUUGGGGGGAGAUGGGGCUCCAGGACCCCCCCCUGCUGGCGGCGGGACACGGCCUCGGUCACUGCGGGGUCAGACAGGGUCACAUGGGGUCAGAUGUGGGGUCAGGCGGGGUCAUUGGGGCCAUACGGGGUCACUGGGGUCAUAUGGGGUCAUAUGGGGUCGGGGGGGUCACAGGGAUAUGGGGGUCUGUGGGGUUGGGGGGCAGAUGGGGCUCCAGGACCCCCCCCUGCAGGCGGCGGGACACAGCCUCGGCCACUGCGGGGUCAUAUGGGGUCAGACGUGGGGUCAGACGGGGUCAUUGGGGUCAUAUGGGGUCAUAUGGGGUCGGGGGGGUCACAGGGAUAUGGGGGUCAGUGGGGUUGGGGGGGGGGCAAAUGGGGCUCCAGGACCCCCCCCCUGCAGGCGGCGGGACACAGCCUCGGUCACUGCGGGGUCACACGGGGUCAGACGUGGGGUCAGACGGGGUCACUGGGGUCAGACGGGGUCAUAUGGGGUCA